RNAcentral lists this transfer RNA (73 nucleotides) under Ovis aries (sheep). It matches the Rfam family "tRNA". From Rfam's summary of the family: Transfer RNA (tRNA) molecules are approximately 80 nucleotides in length. Lineage: Eukaryota; Metazoa; Chordata; Mammalia; Artiodactyla; Bovidae. The record is from Rfam by way of RNAcentral.
UUCCUGAUGGUCCAGUGGUAAGGACUUCUCUCUUCCACUGCAGGGGGCACAGGUUCAAUCCCUGAUUGGGGAA